AAGGUGCAAAGGUUGGCCUCAAGCCAGCUGCUGGGGAUUCCCUCAAUGUUAGGGAGUUCCCAGAAGGGAUACAGCUGGCGGCUUUAUGUUUUUUGCCACCGCAAGCACGGCAGUCAGGCAGCUUUCGACAGCAAGCCUGCGGGAGGUCUGCUGUCGACCCAGAUUCAG
This is a non-coding RNA of Chelonoidis abingdonii (Abingdon island giant tortoise), 168 nucleotides long. The record is from RefSeq and is a predicted model, not a curated record. Lineage: Eukaryota; Metazoa; Chordata; Testudines; Testudinidae.